CCUACGGGUGGCAGCAGUGAGGAAUAUUGGUCAAUGGACGAGAGUCUGAACCAGCCAAGUAGCGUGAAGGAUGACUGCCCUAUGGGUUGUAAACUUCUUUUAUAUGGGAAUAAAAUGUUCCACGUGUGGGAUUUUGUAUGUACCAUAUGAAUAAGGAUCGGCUAACUCCGUGCCAGCAGCCGCGGUAAUACGGAGGAUCCGAGCGUUAUCCGGAUUUACUGGGUGUAAAGGGCGUGUAGCCGGGCUGACAAGUCAGAUGUGAAAUCCGGGGGCUCAACCGCAGAACUGCAUUUGAAACUGUUGAUCUUGAGUACUGGAGAGGCAGACGGAAUUCCUAGUGUAGCGGUGAAAUGCAUAGAUAUCACACAGAACACCGAUUGCGAAGGCAUCUCACGAAUCCGCGAUUGACGCUGAUGCACGAAAGCGUGGGUAUCAAACAGGAUUAGAUACCCGAGUAGUC
RNAcentral lists this ribosomal RNA (460 nucleotides) under uncultured bacterium. Its description in RNAcentral is "partial 16S ribosomal RNA". It matches the Rfam family "Bacterial small subunit ribosomal RNA", at positions 338 to 795 of the family's 1533-position model. The record is from RNAcentral.